UUGACCGUCACAUGAGGUGACAGCUUUACAGUAUCACCUAUGAACUAGACAGAAGUGGAAGACACCAACAUAGUUUUAAAACAAACAACUGAUACAGAUAGAGAAAGGGAUAUUAUAACUUUUCAUUUUGGAUUCAAGUGAAGACAAGAUGGGCACCAGAUGGAUCAUAUCAGUUGUCCUGAUUCUAAUGGCAACAGCAGGAACAACGGCACCUGCUACUUCAACAAAGACACCUGCUCCAACAACAAAAACAACUGCAGCAACAACAGUGUCAAAAACCACGACACCUGCUCCAACAACUGCAAAAACAACACGUGCUCCGACAACAAUUGCAAAAACAACAACCCGUGCUC
This is a long non-coding RNA of Micropterus salmoides (largemouth bass), 353 nucleotides long. RefSeq lists it as uncharacterized. The record is from RefSeq and is a predicted model, not a curated record. NCBI's taxonomy places the organism in Eukaryota, Metazoa, Chordata, Actinopteri, Centrarchiformes, Centrarchidae. The transcript has 3 exons.